CCGGCGCCCCGCCCCUGCGGCGGGACCGGUGGUGCGUCCCCCUCCCGCCACCCCCGGGGCUACCACGGCCCCUCUCCCGGUCGCCAAAUGGGGCCCGGGCGGCCACCGGACCCGCCGCCCACACCAGCCCUGAGGGAAAACCCCCUCGCCGCCACCCUCCGUUGGGGUCACGCAGGGCCUGAGACCCGUCCCCGUUGUUUUUCCCGGUUCGAGGCCAGCCCCGCGGCGGUGCCGUGAACAGGCGGGGGCCGCGGAGCGGCUCCGUGACUCCCACCUCCGUAGCCUGUUGGCUCCGGUUAAGCCGCCGUCCCCUCAAUUAAGAGAUGGCGUCGCUGGCCGGCUUCCACCCCACCGCACGGCCUCAACGGGGACGCCAAGGAAGCGGCCGCGGCCCGAGCCCCCGCUGCCCACCGGCAGCCCCGAGAACAGCUACUAUGCGUUUGGUUUGUUUUCCCCCUCUAAAGAUUUUUUUUGAGAAGCCUGCUGGAUCGGAAGGGAGGAUUCUUCAAUUUGGGACAAACGGGGAGGCGGGAGCGCGGCCGAACAAGAAAUCUCCCCGUACGGUGUUUGGCACGGUGCUUGCUCAGUCUCCACUUGGAUCCGUGGACAUUUCCUGAAGCCAGAACACCUUCUGGCAGAGUCCCACAGGUCUGCCACCCUGCUCUGAGAACGCGGACUUCAGCUGCCCGAACAGAGGCUUUGGCUUCACCUUCCUACGGCUUAGACCUCAAAGGAGUUCUUUCCAUUCCCUGCUGCUUCCAACCAAGCGCUUUUAAAGACAAGAGUAGCAUUGCUGUGUAACAAAAUACAUCAAGUGAGCAGGUAACUCCCCAAUUACCUAGCAGCCAAAUUAACAACUACGGGAGAAGAGAGAGGCAAAUACCUGCUCAUCGUACAGAUUUUUCUGAAGUAUACAACAGUCUUUGACUCACCGUAACUUCUCCCCUAUAGGAACUGGUAACAGUUAUGGAAAACUAGAAGCUAGAGUUUUUUGCAACAGUUAAGCGCCUGAACAACUUUUGCAAAUCCUGACUAAAUUAAAAGGAAAAGGGCACUUGGUGAGUAGGUGUCAUUAGUGCAGGGUUAUGUCAUCAUCAGUGUGAAACAGAGACAAAUCCUGUUCUUAAGACACGUUUUGAUGCAUUUCAACUAAUGCUUGGAUCGUUCACACUUUAAUAUUAAUCACAGAUAAACGGAGGGCAAGGAGGAAAGCAGUGAGCAGGAAGACAUUAGCAGGCACUCUCAGCACUAACUUGAAAAUUUGGCUAUGAGCAAAAAUCUAAGCUGGAGCAUACUGAAAUUGUCAAGCAGGACACGAGGACCUGGGGCUCACAGCAACCGAAAAGAUGCUAGAAGCCUGGCCAAAAAAUAAAGGACUCUCAGGUCAAGUUCUGGGAUGCAGACUGGAACAGACGUCUGCGAGAAGUGCGUCACAAAUGAUUGAGCGUGCAGAACUUGCACAGAGGAGCUCGGGCCUGGAGCGGCAGCAGGACUUUGGGACUGGGCCAGAAACGCACAGCGAAGGUUGCAGAAAGCACUGGGAACCCAACUGUGUGAAACCCGGCUUUAUUCUGACCGCAGUGCCACAAAACCACGCUCCACAUGCUGAACCCACGGUUGUUCCUAGCGGUGCUUCCCGGUACGAUUGAAGCGCCUGUACAAGUAUUGGA
This is a long non-coding RNA of Aquila chrysaetos chrysaetos, 1670 nucleotides long. RefSeq lists it as uncharacterized. NCBI's taxonomy places the organism in Eukaryota, Metazoa, Chordata, Aves, Accipitriformes, Accipitridae. The transcript has 2 exons. The record is from RefSeq and is a predicted model, not a curated record.